Molecule: ribosomal RNA, 253 nt
Filed under: uncultured bacterium
Lineage: Bacteria
Description: partial 16S ribosomal RNA
Rfam family: Bacterial small subunit ribosomal RNA
Source: RNAcentral
UACGAAGGGGGCUAGCGUUGCUCGGAAUCACUGGGCUUAAAGGGCGCGUAGGCGGCGUGUCAAGUCAGGCGUGAAAGCCCCGGGCUCAACCUGGGAACCGCGCUUGAGACUGGCAUGCUCGAGUUCGGGAGAGGAUGGUGGAAUUCCCAGUGUAGAGGUGAAAUUCGUAGAUAUUGGGAAGAACACCGAUGGCGAAGGCAGCCAUCUGGACCGACACUGACGCUGAGGCGCGAAAGCGUGGGGAGCAAACAGG